GACUCUUAGCAGUGGAUCACUUGACUCGUGCAUGAUGAAGAGUGCAGCUAGCUGUGAGAAUUAUUAAUUGCGAGCACAGCUAGCUGUGUGAAUUGUAGGACACAUUGAUCAUAGACACUUCAAAUGCACCUGCUCCUGGUGCUGGGUUCUUCCCAGUGUUAUGCCUGUCUAAGCGUCG
This 178-nucleotide ribosomal RNA is filed under the name Sphenodon punctatus (tuatara). RNAcentral describes it as "5.8S ribosomal RNA (ENSSPUG00000012967.1)". It matches the Rfam family "5.8S ribosomal RNA". Rfam says of the family: 5.8S ribosomal RNA (5.8S rRNA) is a component of the large subunit of the eukaryotic ribosome. It is transcribed by RNA polymerase I as part of the 45S precursor that also contains 18S and 28S rRNA. Functionally, it is thought that 5.8S rRNA may be involved in ribosome translocation. The record is from Rfam by way of RNAcentral. Lineage: Eukaryota; Metazoa; Chordata; Lepidosauria; Sphenodontia; Sphenodontidae.